GGAGAGGUGGCUCAGAGGUUAAAGAGCACUGACUGUUCUUCCAGAGGUCCUGAGUUCAAUUCCCAGCAACCCCA
Molecule: transfer RNA, 74 nt
Organism: Neotoma lepida (desert woodrat)
Lineage: Eukaryota; Metazoa; Chordata; Mammalia; Rodentia; Cricetidae
Rfam family: tRNA
About the family: Transfer RNA (tRNA) molecules are approximately 80 nucleotides in length.
Source: Rfam